CUACGGGUCGCAGCAGUGAGGAAUAUUGCACAAUGGGGGGAACCCUGAUGCAGCAACGCCGCGUGGAGGAUGACGCAUUUCGGUGUGUAAACUCCUUUUAUAUGUCAAGAAAAUGACGGUAGCAUAUGAAUAAGCACCGGCUAACUCCGUGCCAGCAGCCGCGGUAAUACGGAGGGUGCAAGCGUUACUCGGAAUCACUGGGCGUAAAGAACGCGUAGGCGGGCUUGUAAGUCAGGUGUGAAAUCCUACAGCUUAACUGUAGAACUGCACUUGAAACUACGAGCCUAGAGUAUGGGAGGGGGAGAUGGAAUUAGUGGUGUAGGGGUAAAAUCCGUAGAUAUCACUAGGAAUACCUAAAGCGAAGGCGAUCUCCUGGAACAUAACUGACGCUAAGGCGUGAAAGCGUGGGGAGCAAACAGGAUUAGAUACCCUAGUAGUC
RNAcentral lists this ribosomal RNA (439 nucleotides) under uncultured bacterium. RNAcentral describes it as "partial 16S ribosomal RNA". It matches the Rfam family "Bacterial small subunit ribosomal RNA", at positions 339 to 795 of the family's 1533-position model. The record is from RNAcentral.